This 496-nucleotide ribosomal RNA is filed under the name uncultured bacterium. RNAcentral describes it as "bacterial SSU rRNA". It matches the Rfam family "Bacterial small subunit ribosomal RNA", at positions 28 to 533 of the family's 1533-position model. The record is from RNAcentral.
GACGAACGCUGGCGGCGUGCUUAACACAUGCAAGUCGAACGGGGUCCAUGAGAGCUUGCUCUCGGAAGACCUAGUGGCGAACGGGUGAGUAACACGUGAGAAACCUGCCUCGGAGUGGGGAAUAACUCGAGGAAACUCGAGCUAAUACCGCAUACCUUCAUUUGACCGCAUGGUCAGUUGAAGAAAGAUUUAUCGCUCUGAGAGGGUCUCGCGGCCUAUCAGCUUGUUGGUGGGGUAACGGCCUACCAAGGCAACGACGGGUAGCUGGAUUGAGAGAUCGACCAGCCACACUGGAACUGAGACACGGUCCAGACUCCUACGGGAGGCAGCAGUGGGGAAUCUUGCGCAAUGGGCGAAAGCCUGACGCAGCAACGCCGCGUGCGGGAUGAAGGCCUUCGUGGUUGUAAACCGCUUUCAGUAGGGACGAAAAUGACGGUACCUGCAGAAGAAGCUCCGGCUAACUACGUGCCAGCAGCCGCGGUAAGUCACGAGAGUA